This is a long non-coding RNA of Plodia interpunctella (Indianmeal moth), 1315 nucleotides long. RefSeq lists it as uncharacterized. The record is from RefSeq and is a predicted model, not a curated record. The transcript has 3 exons. Lineage: Eukaryota; Metazoa; Arthropoda; Insecta; Lepidoptera; Pyralidae.
UAUAAUAAUUUACAAGACCUUUUGUAAGUAAUUUUAAUAUUUUUUGCGCAGUUACGUAUUAGUAUAUGAGUAGGAUCAGUGUUAUGAACAGAAGUGUCUGGAGAGUAAGGAGUUAUAUAUUCUGACAGAUAUCACAAUGGAAUCUAUCUAUGACUUUAGGCAAUUGCCCGAACCUCAUUAUAACGAGAUCAUGGAGAAAUACAGGAUUUUCAUGGAGAAUGCUGACCAGCUUGAGGAGCCACCCGUUGCGGUGUUCAGUCCCCUGCCUGAGGAGCAGGUGGUACAGCUGAGCAUGAUACGAACGUAUAGCGAAGAACUUCAGAAGAAGAAAGAUUUGGAUAUUAAAAGCAAGAAAUCAGAGGUUGGUGAUGGUGAAGAAUCGGAAAACUUGUAGAAGAUGAAAGAAACUAACCACUCCUAAAAUAGUACUAUAAAAAAAUUAUAUAUAUAUAUAUACUUAGUCUACCUAGGUAGGUUUGAGGUUAAACUGUAAAUGUCCGCCGUCGUUUAUAUAAAACAAUCCUUCGCUCGCAUUAAUUUCCCACCAAAACAUUUAUUUUUCCGGGAUGAGAUGAGAGAAGUACUUCUCCACACUUCAAACUACAUGUAUGCAAAAUUUCAAGAAGAUUGGUUGAGUCGAUAUAGCUUAAAAAGGUAACAAACUUACUUUCAAAUUAGUAAUAUUACUAGAUGUGGCCCGGGGCUUCGCUCCCUUGGGAAUUUUUUGAUAAAGUAUAGCCUAUAGCAAUCUUGGAUAAUGCAUCUUUCUAAUGAUGAAUUUCGAAAUUCGAAAUUUCGAAUUUUUGAAAUCGGUUCGGUAGUUUCGGAGAUUACCCGCCUCAAACAUACAAACUCACAAACGCUUACCUCUUUAUAAUAAUAGUAUGUAGUUACGAUUUGAAUGGGUCCGGCGUUAUCUGCACAUGUUAAAAGUUUACGGCAAAGUUGACUGGUGCAACCUACCCUAAUAAUAACAAGUAACCUAUUGUACAUACUUUAAAAAAUAUUUAAAUAGUUUAUUCUUUUCAUUUUGUUUGCCUCUCUCUUUAUUUUGUACCUUGUAUUAAAGUUAUGCCACUUUGCUACGUUCCAGCGAUGUUUUCUAUAAGAUUUGACGUUGAUGUAGGUGGUACGUCGAAAUUCCACCAUUAAUAAUUUUGUACAUCGUUCUGAUUUAAUUCGUCAACGUAGCAGAGGACCACAGAACGCUACGGAGCAAUGGGGCAUGGCUGUUACUAUAUCUAUCUUAAUAUUUGUAAGUUUUGGUGCAAUAUUUUUUUUUUGUUAAAAGUUAAAUAAAUUAUCGACUUGUGUU